GUCUCAUCAUCUAAUAGUAUAUUUUUCUUAAAUAAAGGGGUGAAAAUAGUGGAAGAUUUAUAUAACCUGUUUUUUUGUAGUUUUUGGUCCUGGGAUAAUAUGGAUGCAAACUGCAGAGUUUAAUUAUAAAAUAUAAGAACUCCUGCAAUCUGUUAACAGGAAAAAAAGGAGAAGCGUGAGUUCAUUUUCGCGUUUUAGGUAGUAAAGUUCUUUCUCUCUUGCAGAUUUUUAACUUUGUCUCCUCAAAUGGAGAAGAAGGCUUCAAAUUUUAUACUUUUCAAAAGUUAUAGAUACUUAAUUACUUGAAAAAGAG
Molecule: long non-coding RNA, 313 nt
Organism: Zophobas morio
Lineage: Eukaryota; Metazoa; Arthropoda; Insecta; Coleoptera; Tenebrionidae
Exons: 3
Source: RefSeq, a predicted model, not a curated record